Homo sapiens (human) is the source of this 1857-nucleotide long non-coding RNA. The record is from Ensembl. NCBI's taxonomy places the organism in Eukaryota, Metazoa, Chordata, Mammalia, Primates, Hominidae.
GACAGGUUUUCACCAUAUUGGCCAGGAUAGUCUCCAUCUCCUAACCUCGUGAUCCACCUGCCUCAGCCUCCCAAAGUGCUGGGAUUACAGGUGAGAGCCACCACGCCUGGCAAAACCUGGCUAAUUUUUAAAAAUUAAAAACAAAUCCCAGCACUUUGGGAGGCCAAGGUGGGAGGAUCACUUGAGAUCAGGAGUUCGAGACCAGCUGGGCCAACAUGGUGAAACCCCGUAUCUACUAAAAAUACAAAAAUUGGCCAGGCGUGGUGGCCCGUGCCUGUAGUCCCAGCUACUGUGGAGGCUGAGGCACAAGAAUCGCUUGAACCCAGGAGACAGAGGUUGCAGUGAGCCGAGAUUGCACCACUGCACUCCAGCCUGGGCAACAGAGUGAGACCCUAUCUCAAAAUAAAUUAUUUUUCCAGUCCCUCCUCUUAGACAAGAUGAACUCCUUUCAUUGCCAGCAUAUUCUUUUUUGGAGAGAAAACAAAAUUAUAAGGAUAUAUCAUAUUCAGGAAUUGAGCCAAGAAGGCCUCCAUAAUGGAUCUGAGGAGCAGUUUGUUAUUUGGUCUUCUGUUCCUUAGUCGUAACAUGGGUCAUCCAUUUGGACAGGAGAGUGCUGCUGGUCUUAACUAGAUGUGACUGGAUAGACUUCAUGAGGAGUAUUCCUAUGAGAAUAAAAAGAAAAAUUAUCACUAUAUCUUGGAAAAGCAGUGCAUCCCCAGGACUGUAUCCCUGUUGGGAAUAUUCAAGGGAAAAGGUCAUAUUCUCAGCCACCCAAUGAUAACCCAGAGGUCCCAGAGAUCAGGACUAGGUGGCAAUUCAUCAAAAAGACAUCAGAAAGGUGUUGGGGGAUAUAUGUACAGCAGUCGUCAUUGACAACUGCACAAGUGCAUCCAUCUCCUAGAUCUGCCCGGAUGAUGGCUAAUGCCAGUUGAUGAUGGACAACAGCCUCUGGAGUUCUUGCAUUUCUUGAGUGAUUGUGUUAAUAUUUUUCGUGACAUCACUGGUGACUUGGUUGGCUUCAUGAAUGAGAGCAUGGAAAACUCAGGAAUUGGGUUGAGCUUCUUCAGUAACCCACAGAGCUGGAUUGCCAGAAAAGCCUGCAACCUGAGACCUGUCCCUGUUGGGGGCGAACACAUCUAAAACCAUUCCAAGUCUUUUAGCUUCUUCAGACAGUUCCUGUUGUUUUCCUGGAGAGAAUGGCUGUUUUGCAGAGGGAUGUUCUCACUCCUGACAAUGGAUUGUUCUGUCUAGGAGUGAGAGUUUUACUCUACUUCUGAAAAGGUGAAUCGAAUGCUUGUGACUGCAGUUUUCCCAAGGUUUCAUAGAAGUGGUCUGGAGGCUCUUCAAGGAGAACUACAAACCACUGCUGAAGGAAAUAAGAGAGGACACAAACAAAUGGAAAAACAUUCCAUGCUCAUGGAUAGGAAGAAUCAAUAUCGUGAAAAUGGCCUUACUGCCCAAAGUAAUUUAUAGAUUCAAUGCUAUCCUCAUCAAGCUACCACUGACUUUCUUCACAGAAUUGGAAAAAAACUACUUUCAACUUCAUAUGGAAUCAAAACAGAGCCCGCAUUAGCCAAGACAAUCCUGGGCAAGAAGAACAAAGCUGGAGGCAUCACGCUACCUGACUUGAAACUUUACUACAAGGCUACAGUAACCAAAACAGCAUGCUACUGGUACCAGAACAGAGAUAUAGACCAAUGGAACAGAACGGAGGCCUCAGAAAUACUACCACACAUCUACCACCUCUGAUCUUUGACAAACCUGACACACACAAGCAAUGGGGAAAACAUUCCCUGUUUAAUAAAUUAUGUUGGGAAAACUGGCUAGCCAUAUGCAGAAAACUGAAACUGGACCCCU